This 555-nucleotide ribosomal RNA is filed under the name Candida tropicalis. Its description in RNAcentral is "eukaryotic LSU rRNA". It matches the Rfam family "Eukaryotic large subunit ribosomal RNA", at positions 88 to 659 of the family's 3401-position model. Lineage: Eukaryota; Fungi; Ascomycota; Pichiomycetes; Serinales; Debaryomycetaceae. The record is from RNAcentral.
GGCGAGUGAAGCGGCAAAAGCUCAAAUUUGAAAUCUGGCUCUUUCAGAGUCCGAGUUGUAAUUUGAAGAAGGUAUCUUUGGGUCUGGCUCUUGUCUAUGUUUCUUGGAACAGAACGUCACAGAGGGUGAGAAUCCCGUGCGAUGAGAUGAUCCAGGCCUAUGUAAAGUUCCUUCGAAGAGUCGAGUUGUUUGGGAAUGCAGCUCUAAGUGGGUGGUAAAUUCCAUCUAAAGCUAAAUAUUGGCGAGAGACCGAUAGCGAACAAGUACAGUGAUGGAAAGAUGAAAAGAACUUUGAAAAGAGAGUGAAAAAGUACGUGAAAUUGUUGAAAGGGAAGGGCUUGAGAUCAGACUUGGUAUUUUGUAUGUUACUUCUUCGGGGGUGGCCUCUACAGUUUAUCGGGCCAGCAUCAGUUUGGGCGGUAGGAGAAUUGCGUUGGAAUGUGGCACGGCUUCGGUUGUGUGUUAUAGCCUUCGUCGAUACUGCCAGCCUACACUGAGGACUGCGGUUUAUACCUAGGAUGUUGGCAUAAUGAUCUUAACUCGCCCGUCUUGAAA